ACGCUGGCGGCACGCCUAACACAUGCAAGUCGAACGAAGUAGCAAUACUUAGUGGCAGACGGGUGAGUAACAUGUAGGUAUCUACCCUUUGGCCUGGAAUAACACGAGGAAACUUGUGCUAAUACCGGAUAAGUCUUUACGGAGAAAGCUUUAUGCACCAUUGGAUGAGCCUGCACUUGAUUAGUUUGUUGGUGGGGUAAUGGCCUACCAAGACUGUGAUCAAUAGCUGAUUUGAGAGGAUGAUCAGCCACAUUGGGACUGAGACACGGCCCAAACUCCUACGGGAGGCAGCAGUGGGGAAUCUUGCACAAUGGAGGAAACUCUGAUGCAGCGAUGCCGCGUGAGUGAAGAAGGCCUUUGGGUUGUAAAGCUCUUUCGUCGGGGAAGAAAAUGACUGUACCCGAAUAAGAAGGUCCGGCUAACUUCGUGCCAGCAGCCGCGGUAAUACGAAGGGACCUAGCGUAGUUCGGAAUUACUGGGCUUAAAGAGUUCGUAGGUGGUUGAAAAAGUUAGUGGUGAAAUCCCAGAGCUUAACUCUGGAACUGCCAUUAAAACUUUUCAGCUAGAGUAUGAUAGAGGAAAGCAGAAUUUCUAGUGUAGAGGUGAAAUUCGUAGAUAUUAGAAAGAAUACCAAUUGCGAAGGCAGCUUUCUGGAUCAUUACUGACACUGAGGAACGAAAGCAUGGGUAGCGAAGAGGAUUAGAUACCCUCGUAGUCCAUGCCGUAAACGAUGUGUGUUAGACGUUGGAAAUUUAUUUUCAGUGUCGCAGCGAAAGCGAUAAACACACCGCCUGGGGAGUACGA
RNAcentral lists this ribosomal RNA (804 nucleotides) under uncultured Pelagibacteraceae bacterium. Its description in RNAcentral is "bacterial SSU rRNA". It matches the Rfam family "Bacterial small subunit ribosomal RNA", at positions 33 to 885 of the family's 1533-position model. Lineage: Bacteria; Pseudomonadati; Pseudomonadota; Alphaproteobacteria; Candidatus Pelagibacterales; Candidatus Pelagibacteraceae. The record is from RNAcentral.